UACGGAGGGUGCAAGCGUUAUUCGGAAUCACUGGGCGUAAAGAGUUCGUAGGCGGUUUGCUAAGUCUGAUGUGAAAGCCCCGGGCCCAAUCCGGGAAGUGCAUUGGAUACUGGCAGGCUAGAGUUCGGGAGAGGAGAGUGGAAUUCCAGGUGUAGAGGUGAAAUUCGUAGAUAUCUGGAGGAACAACGGAAGCGAAGGCGACUCUCUGGACCGUUACUGACGCUGAGGAACGAAAGCGUGGGGAGCAAACAGG
Molecule: ribosomal RNA, 253 nt
Filed under: uncultured bacterium
Lineage: Bacteria
Description: partial 16S ribosomal RNA
Rfam family: Bacterial small subunit ribosomal RNA
Source: RNAcentral